CACUGAGUGGCUGAAGUUUUAAGCGUUAGCCUCUUAAGCUAAAUUAUAGUAUUUACUCUCAGUGA
This 65-nucleotide transfer RNA is filed under the name Lynceus grossipedia. RNAcentral's name for it is "tRNA-Lys". It matches the Rfam family "tRNA". From Rfam's summary of the family: Transfer RNA (tRNA) molecules are approximately 80 nucleotides in length. Their secondary structure includes four short double-helical elements and three loops (D, anti-codon, and T loops). The record is from RNAcentral. Lineage: Eukaryota; Metazoa; Arthropoda; Branchiopoda; Diplostraca; Lynceidae.